CCCGGAUCUUGUACACACCGCCCGUCACACCACGAGAGUUUACAACACCCGAAGUCGGUGGGGUAACCCGCAAGGGAGCCAGCCGCCGAAGGUGGGGUAGAUGAUUGGGGUG
This 112-nucleotide ribosomal RNA is filed under the name uncultured bacterium. RNAcentral describes it as "partial 16S ribosomal RNA". It matches the Rfam family "Bacterial small subunit ribosomal RNA", at positions 1373 to 1482 of the family's 1533-position model. The record is from RNAcentral.